GUAGGUGGCAAGCGUUGUCCGGAAUUAUUGGGCGUAAAGCGCGCGCAGGCGGUUCUUUAAGUCUGAUGUGAAAGCCCACGGCUCAACCGUGGAGGGUCAUUGGAAACUGGAGAACUUGAGUACAGAAGAGGAAAGCGGAAUUCCACGUGUAGCGGUGAAAUGCGUAGAGAUGUGGAGGGACACCAGUGGCGAAGGCGGCUUUCUGGUCUGUAACUGACGCUGAGGCGCGAAAGCGUGGGGAGCAAACAGGAUUAGAUACCCUGGUAGUCCACGCCGUAAACGAUGAGUGCUAGUGUUAGGGGGUUUCCGCCCCCCUUAGUGCUGCAGCUAACGCAUUAAGCACUCCGCCUGGGAGUACGGCCGCAAGGCUG
This 371-nucleotide ribosomal RNA is filed under the name uncultured organism. RNAcentral describes it as "partial 16S ribosomal RNA". It matches the Rfam family "Bacterial small subunit ribosomal RNA", at positions 527 to 896 of the family's 1533-position model. The record is from RNAcentral.